This 253-nucleotide ribosomal RNA is filed under the name uncultured bacterium. RNAcentral's name for it is "partial 16S ribosomal RNA". It matches the Rfam family "Bacterial small subunit ribosomal RNA", at positions 524 to 776 of the family's 1533-position model. The record is from RNAcentral.
UACGGAGGGGGCUAGCGUUGUUCGGAAUUACUGGGCGUAAAGGGCACGUAGGCGGACUGUUAAGUCGGGGGUGAAAUCCUGGGGCUCAACCUCAGAAUUGCCUCCGAUACUGGCAGUCUCGAGUGCGGGAGAGGUGAGUGGAAUUCCCAGUGUAGAGGUGAAAUUCGUAGAUAUUGGGAAGAACACCGGUGGCGAAGGCGGCGCUCUGGACCGAGACUGACGCUGAGGCGCGAAAGCGUGGGGAGCAAACAGG